Molecule: unclassified non-coding RNA, 263 nt
Filed under: plant metagenome
Description: partial contains small subunit ribosomal RNA, internal transcribed spacer 1, and 5.8S ribosomal RNA
Rfam family: Eukaryotic small subunit ribosomal RNA (bases 1-54)
Source: RNAcentral
GGAAGUAAAAGUCGUAACAAGAUUUCCGUAGGUGAACCUGCGGAAGGAUCAUUAUUGAAUGAAACACUUCUGGCUUUAUGCUGUUGUGCUGGCCCUUUGGGCAAUGUGCACACGGCUCUGGUCACUUGUUUCUUCUGUUCCACCUGUGCACUGCCUGUAGACACGCUGUGUCUAUGAUAUUUGUUAACACACAACAAUGUUAGUUGGCAUGUUAUAUAUAAUAAUAAAACAUACAACUUUCAACAACGGAUCUCUUGGCUCUC